Molecule: ribosomal RNA, 910 nt
Filed under: Sporobolomyces pararoseus
Lineage: Eukaryota; Fungi; Basidiomycota; Microbotryomycetes; Sporidiobolales; Sporidiobolaceae
Description: LSU rRNA
Rfam family: Eukaryotic large subunit ribosomal RNA
Source: RNAcentral
GCAUAUCAAUAAGCGGAGGAAAAGAAACUAACAAGGAUUCCCCUAGUAGCGGCGAGCGAAGCGGGAAAAGCUCAAAUUUGUAAUCUGGCGUCUUCGACGUCCGAGUUGUAAUCUCGAGAAGUGUUUUCCGUGAUAGACCGCAUACAAGUCUCUUGGAACAGAGCGUCAUAGUGGUGAGAACCCAGUACACGAUGCGGAUGCCUAUUACUUUGUGAUACACUUUCGAAGAGUCGAGUUGUUUGGGAAUGCAGCUCAAAUUGGGUGGUAAAUUCCAUCUAAAGCUAAAUAUUGGCGAGAGACCGAUAGCGAACAAGUACCGUGAGGGAAAGAUGAAAAGCACUUUGGAAAGAGAGUUAACAGUACGUGAAAUUGUUGGAAGGGAAACACAUGCAGUGAUACUUGCUAUUCGGGGCAACUCGAUUGGCAGGCCCGCAUCAGUUUUUCGGGGCGGAAAAUCGUAGAGAGAAGGUAGCAGUUUCGGCUGUGUUAUAGCUCUUUACUGGAUUCGCCCUGGGGGACUGAGGAACGCAGCGUGCUUUUAGCAUGAGCUUCGGCUUAUCCACGCUUAGGAUGCGGGUUUAUGGCUGUAUAUGACCCGUCUUGAAACACGGACCAAGGAGUCUAACAUGCUUGCGAGUAUUUGGGUGUCAAACCCGGAUGCGCAAUGAAAGUGAAUGGAGGUGGGAAGCGCAAGCUGCACCAUCGACCGAUCUGGAUUUUUUAAGAUGGAUUUGAGUAAGAGCAAGUAUGUUGGGACCCGAAAGAUGGUGAACUAUGCCUGAAUAGGGCGAAGCCAGAGGAAACUCUGGUGGAGGCUCGUAGCGGUUCUGACGUGCAAAUCGAUCGUCAAAUUUGGGUAUAGGGGCGAAAGACUAAUCGAACCAUCUAGUAGCUGGUUCCUGCCGAAGUU